This 484-nucleotide ribosomal RNA is filed under the name uncultured bacterium. RNAcentral's name for it is "partial 16S ribosomal RNA". It matches the Rfam family "Bacterial small subunit ribosomal RNA", at positions 30 to 507 of the family's 1533-position model. The record is from RNAcentral.
AUUGAACGCUGGCGGCAGGCCUAACACAUGCAAGUCGAGCGGAUGAAGGGAGCUUGCUCCUGGAUUCAGCGGCGGACGGGUGAGUAAUGCCUAGGAAUCUGCCUGGUAGUGGGGGAUAACGUCCGGAAACGGGCGCUAAUACCGCAUACGUCCUUAGGGAGAAAGUGGGGGAUCUUCGGACCUCACGCUAUCAGAUGAGCCUAGGUCGGAUUAGCUAGUUGGUGGGGUAAAGGCCUACCAAGGCGACGAUCCGUAACUGGUCUGAGAGGAUGAUCAGUCACAAUGGAAGUGAGACACGGUCCAGGCUACUACGGGAGGCAGCAGUAGGGAAUGUUCGGCAAAGGGCGGAAGCCUGAAGGAGCAACGCCGCGUGAGUGAUGAAGGUCUUCGGAUCGUAAAGCUCUGUUAUUAGGGAAGAACAAAUGUGUAAGGAACUAUGCACGUCUUGACGGUACCUAAUCAGAAAGCCACGGCUAACUACGUG